This 365-nucleotide long non-coding RNA is filed under the name Sorghum bicolor (sorghum). RNAcentral describes it as "long non-coding RNA (SBIC_LNC009151)". Lineage: Eukaryota; Viridiplantae; Streptophyta; Magnoliopsida; Poales; Poaceae. The record is from RNAcentral.
CUGUUUCUUGUAGUAAGAUUGGAUCAAGAGUAGGGGUGUGAAUAAAAUCUUUGUUCUUCAGUUGCUGAUAUACUUCUUUCUCUCUUCGGGUCUUUAGUCCUAGGUCUCCUAUCUUGAGAAGGACCUUGACUUGCUGACCGGAUGAAGAUGACGGAGCUUGUGUGGGUGUCGGGUCGACGCUCAUCUCUGAUGGGUGUGAGGAGUGUCGGGAUAAACUCCUUGUACCAAUGUUCUUGAGAGCCUUCCCUGCAUUCUUCACCUUCUUAAACAUCCUGUAAACAAAAGUUGGCAAAAACACAACUAGUGGAAAAUGUGAGAGAAAAUGUUAGUGGUUAGCUGUCCGGAAUGUGAGUAGUCCAGGGGUU